Molecule: long non-coding RNA, 1475 nt
Organism: Plodia interpunctella (Indianmeal moth)
Lineage: Eukaryota; Metazoa; Arthropoda; Insecta; Lepidoptera; Pyralidae
Exons: 4
Source: RefSeq, a predicted model, not a curated record
UUGAAUACUUGGCAAAACAAUUAAUUUCUUAAGCCAAACUAUUGUAUAUUUGCAAUGUUUAAUUUAAUUAUUAUUCUAAUACUAUUAUUUGAAAAUUCUCGAAAUGGAAACAGUAUAAAUGUAUUUCCCUUAAAUUAUCAAUCGAUAUUAUUACCACCGAUCUCGUUAAAAGAACAUUUUAUUAUAGUGGCGAAAUAUUUUUAUGAUAGACAGAAAUGGAAGACUUCACAUUUAGGAGAUGUCAUCUUUAAAAACUAUAAUCAAGACGUAUUUGAAAAGAAAAAUAGAACCUAUGAGAUAUUAGUGUGGAAACACUGGGAUUGGCUCAAAAAACGACAUGUUUAUAACUUUGGGCGUACAAAUGACAGUCAAGAUAUAUUUACCGAUUGCAGUGUUAGUAAUUGCAUAUUUACAGGAAAUGACAGCACAAUAAACACGGUUGACAUUGUGAUUGUGCAUCUCAUGAAAAGGAUCUUCCCCGUGGUCGAGAAACGGAAUAAAAAACAGAUCUGGGUUUUCCUCAAUGACGAGGCACCCACAAACGCUUUCCAAAAAACCAAAAGCCUGCCAAUGUUAGAGAAAUUGGCGAACAUUUUCAACUGGUCCAUGACAUACAGAACUGACUCCGACGUCCCCGUGCCAUACGGUCGUACUGUGCCAUUAAAAAGGCCCAAAUCUUUCAUAAUCACACACGAAAGUAUUGCGGAAUUGAUACCGUACUUAGAUGCGGGCGACAUAGGGCGGCAAAGAACGCAAAUUUGCCUACGAAUAACAUUUUACCAGUUUUCUGAGAAACAUCUGGGAACAAGCAAAUAGCACGUACAAAGUAAGCUUUAUAAAUAAUAGCUAUGCUCUCUUUGAUAAAAGACUUUAUUAAGACUUUAAAAUUAUUGGGACGCCUGAUCUAGUUUGGUAUAUUAUAUCUAUAUUACAUUCUAUCUGCUUAAUGUUCUAUAUGUCCAUCAAUACUGCUGGUUACCUUUUUACGGAGAUCGUGGCGCAUCGAAGAACAUUGCUGGCUUUUCCUUGCUUGAUACGAAAAUUGCCGUCGAUUACCCGUGAUCGUUGCCGUUAAUGUAUAGUGUCAAAAUAUUUAUAACCGUAUACUCGAGCUACUUAGAUUAGUCUAAUCUAGAUCCACGGAUUUAUAUUUUUUUUGUCUAAUCAUUGGACUAAUAAUAAUAAUUCUAUUGUGUAGCGUGCCUCAAACCGCUUGUGGAAACGAAUUUAAUUAACUUUCUUAUGAAUUAUUCCCCUCCAUAGCGGUGAGAAGUUCGCAAAUCCCCAGUUUAAUUAUAUAAAAGUUUGCUGAAACAGAUUUUACUGAAAAUACAGGUUUUAUUAUUUGCAUAAUUAAUUAUUAUGUUUGAUGUACCUAUAUAGAUUUGUAUUGUUUUUUCUAUCAGUAGUUACCUCACAGCAUUUUGGCAUCUAAUGUUUAAAAUUUAUUAAAUAAUACUGCUCUUAAACAUGGC